This 374-nucleotide ribosomal RNA is filed under the name uncultured organism. RNAcentral describes it as "partial 16S ribosomal RNA". It matches the Rfam family "Bacterial small subunit ribosomal RNA", at positions 527 to 896 of the family's 1533-position model. The record is from RNAcentral.
GAAGGGUGCAAGCGUUACUCGGAAUUACUGGGCGUAAAGCGUGCGUAGGUGGUGGUUUAAGUCUGCUGUGAAAGCCCUGGGCUCAACCUGGGAAUUGCAGUGGAUACUGGGUCACUAGAGUGUGGUAGAGGGAUGCGGAAUUUCCGGUGUAGCAGUGAAAUGCGUAGAGAUCGGAAGGAACAUCCGUGGCGAAGGCGGCAUCCUGGGCCAACACUGACACUGAGGCACGAAAGCGUGGGGGGGAGCAAACAGGAUUAGAUACCCUGGUAGUCCACGCCCUAAACGAUGCGAACUGGAUGUUGGGUGCAACUUGGCACCCAGUAUCGAAGCUAACGCGUUAAGUUCGCCGCCUGGGGAGUACGGUCGCAAGACUG